AUCCGGCUGACGAGUCCCAGAUAGAACGAAACGCGUCUUCUGGAU
RNAcentral lists this non-coding RNA (45 nucleotides) under Schistosoma margrebowiei. Lineage: Eukaryota; Metazoa; Platyhelminthes; Trematoda; Strigeidida; Schistosomatidae. The record is from RNAcentral.